GAUGAAGAACGUAGCGAAAUGCGAUACGUAAUGUGAAUUGCAGAAUUCAGUGAAUCAUCGAAUCUUUGAACGCAUAUUGCGCUCUUUGGUAUUCCGAAGAGCAUGCUUGUUUGAGUAUCAGUAAACACCUCAAAGCUUUUGGAUUUUUUAAUCGAAAAGCUUUGGACUUGAGCAAUCCCAACACCAAUCUUUUUGAGAUCGGUGGCGGGUUGCUUGGAAUGCAGGUGCAGCUGGACAUUCUCCUGAGCUAAAAGCAUAUUCAUUUAGUCCCGUCAAACGGAUUAUUACUUUUGCUGCAGCUAACAUAAAGGGAGUUUGACCGUAUUGGCUGACUGAUGCAGGAUUUCACAAGGGUCGGCAACGAUUCUUGUUAAACUCGAUCUCAAAUCAAGUAAGACUACCCGCUGAACUUAAGCAUAUCAAUAAGCGGAGGA
RNAcentral lists this unclassified non-coding RNA (434 nucleotides) under soil metagenome. RNAcentral's name for it is "partial contains 5.8S ribosomal RNA, internal transcribed spacer 2, and large subunit ribosomal RNA". The stretch from base 1 to 120 matches the Rfam family "5.8S ribosomal RNA", at positions 35 to 154 of the family's 154-position model. The record is from RNAcentral.